GAUGAACGCUAGCGGAGCGCCUAACACAUGCAAGUCGAACGGUACUUCGGUACAGUGGCAGACGGGCGAGUAACACGUGCUUAAUUUGCCUCGGAGCGGGGAACAACGGUUGAAAGGCCGCUAAUUCCCCAUACGAUCCUAGAAAUGAAAAUACUAGGAUGAAAGGUUUACCACUCCGAGAGAAGAGCGCGGCCUAUUAGAUAGUUGGUGAGGUAAUGGCUCACCAAGUCGAUGAUGGGUAGCUGGUCUGAGAGGAUGACCAGCCGCAAUGGAACUGAGACACGGUCCAUACCCCUACGGGGGGCAGCAGUGGGGAAUAUUGGACAAUGGGGGAAACCCUGAUCCAGCGACUCCGCGUGGAGGAUGACGCAUUACGGUGUGUAAACUCCUUUUUUGGAGGAAGACGACUGACGGUACUCCAAGAAUAAGCGACGGCUAACUACGUG
This 446-nucleotide ribosomal RNA is filed under the name uncultured bacterium. RNAcentral's name for it is "bacterial SSU rRNA". It matches the Rfam family "Bacterial small subunit ribosomal RNA", at positions 28 to 507 of the family's 1533-position model. The record is from RNAcentral.